RNAcentral lists this unclassified non-coding RNA (1719 nucleotides) under Hevea brasiliensis (rubber tree). Lineage: Eukaryota; Viridiplantae; Streptophyta; Magnoliopsida; Malpighiales; Euphorbiaceae. The record is from RNAcentral.
GACAAAAUCAAUUGUCUGUAUUUCUAAAUAAUCUCCUUUACUCUUCACAUAAUAACAUAUAUACUUUCGUUUCUUUUUCUUCCAUUAGCUUCCGCCUGUGUUCGCAUAUUAUAUAUAAAUAUAUGAGCAAGGCAGGUUCGUUCUCCUUUUACUAAAGCUUUCUCAGAAAACCAGAAAAAAAGGAAACAAAUUGGAUAGACAUGGGAAGAGUGAAGCUUCAGAUCAAGAGAAUUGAAAAUACAACUAACAGGCAAGUUACUUACUCCAAAAGAAGAAAUGGGCUUAUCAAGAAAGCUUAUGAACUUUCUGUUCUCUGCGAUGUUGAUGUAGCUCUCAUCAUGUUCUCUCCAUCUGGGAGACUCAGUCUCUUUUCUGGAAACAAAAGCAUUGAGGAAAUUCUGACGAGAUAUGUGAAUCUUCCUGAGCAUGAACGAGGAAGGCUACAUAAGCAAGAGUUCCUAGAAAAGGCUCUUGGUAAGUUAAAAGCUGAAGGCGAUCGAAAUCAUCAAGCGGCCAGCAACCCCGCGAUCACUGAUUCUCAGCUGGAGGUAUUAUUGCACGAUAACUACUAGCUUGCCCCAGCUUAAUUUGCACUGAGAAAAAUUCAUAUAUUCUCACUCACAGGAAUGAUCAUAUUACUUAAAAUUUCAGGAGUUUCAACAAGAAAUUGUUAGAUUCAAAUCCCAAGUGGAGGAUAUGGAAAAACAAAUAAGGAUAUUGGAGGGCAAUCUUUCCCAUACCACAACAUUACCUGAGGCUGAGUACCAAGAACAGAUACUUGAAGAGGCAUUGAAGCGCGUGCAGAUGCGUAAGGUAAUUAAUAUAUACUGAUUAACUAGUAGUCCUUCUUAACCUAUAUCUUAGAACUGCUGAAUUCAUGAUGUAACAGCAAGUUUUAGAAGAAAAGUACAAUUCUUCUGGUGCGCCAACAGUUUCACAGGUAUGUUAUGUAUAAGUCGUUAUAUUCAUCUAUGAUCUAUCCACAUGGACCUGAUGAUGCCCAAAAAAGUGCCAAAAAAUAUGCAGAGAAAUUAAAGUGUUUUCUUUAGGCAGAAAUCACAUGCAAAAUAAUUUUUUCGAGUAAAUGCUUGCCAGUGUAAUCAGGCACAUCUUCCUCCAAAGAAUGCAUAUGUAAAUGAUCUUGUCACAGAAGAAAGUCCAAACAAUGUCUUGGAUUGGCUUCGUCAGAGAGAGCCACAAGUUCAGAUCUUGAAUUUUUUGGACUCCAAUGGCCUUCUUCCCUUAAGAAACCAGGUGCAGCACGCAGCUGAAAUAUUCUUACCAUCACCUGCAACUCUUCUUCAUGGACAAAACAUAAAUCUUGAUGAUCACAUAAGCCCAAGAAGUGGUUUGGAGGACGACAAUAAUGUACAACGUCCUGAGUUUGGACAAGUUAUUGAUGUCAACUUGUCCCCAUGGGCUGAAUUUUACCCUACAGGUAACAGCUCAAUUCUCACUUCACAACCCAGAGAAAGAGCUCUUCUUGAAUUGUAUUUGUCUCGGAUUGCACCAUCAACCAUUUGACGCUGCAAUAACCUUUGAUGCUUUUUUUAUACUUUUUUUUUACCACAUCAUAUAUAUUUUCAAAGUAAUUUAGGUAUCUAAAUUGUUUGUUUUCCUUCUAUUUUGUUUUGAGAUAGAGGGGUCUGUGAAUUUUGCAUGGUGUGAAUGAUGGCGUAUAUUGGAUUGGAUUUUCUAUUAAAAAUUAAUUAUUAUCAA